This 69-nucleotide small nuclear RNA is filed under the name Choloepus hoffmanni (Hoffmann's two-fingered sloth). Lineage: Eukaryota; Metazoa; Chordata; Mammalia; Pilosa; Megalonychidae. The record is from RNAcentral.
GCAACACAGAGAUUAGCGUGGCCCCUGCUCAAGGAUGACACGCAAAUUCGUGAAGCCUACUAUAUUAAA